UCCUGCCAGUAGUCAUAUGCUUGUCUCAAAGAUUAAGCCAUGCACGUCUAAGGAUAAAUAUUAUUUAACCAUAAAACCUGCGAAAGGCUCAUUAAAAUCAGUAAUAAUCUAUUCUAUUAUUUAAUCCUAUUUGGAUAACUGUAGUAAUUCUAGAGCUAAUACAUGCAAAAAACCUGGACUUUACAGAACAGGUUUACUUAUUAGACUUUAAAACCGAUUACAAUUUAUUGUAAAUUUAAAAUGAAUUAAAAUAAGUUUAUGAAUCGCAGAUCAUUUUGUGAUGAUAAGAAUGAAUUUCUGCCCUAUCAACUUUCGAUGGUAAUGUAGUGGAUUACCAUGGUGAUGACGGGUAACGGGGAAGUUAGGGUUUGAUUCCGGAGAAAAAGGCCUGAGAGACGGCCAUUACUUCUAAGGAAGGCAGCAGGCGCGUAAAUUACCCCAAUCCUAAUACGGGGAGGUAGUGUACAAGAAAUAUUGAUAUUGGACCCAAAGGGUACAAUGAUUGAAAUGAGAACAAUAUAAAAAACUUAACGACUAACAAUUGAGGG
This 548-nucleotide ribosomal RNA is filed under the name uncultured eukaryote. Its description in RNAcentral is "bacterial SSU rRNA". It matches the Rfam family "Eukaryotic small subunit ribosomal RNA", at positions 12 to 554 of the family's 1831-position model. The record is from RNAcentral.